This 465-nucleotide ribosomal RNA is filed under the name uncultured bacterium. RNAcentral's name for it is "partial 16S ribosomal RNA". It matches the Rfam family "Bacterial small subunit ribosomal RNA", at positions 338 to 795 of the family's 1533-position model. The record is from RNAcentral.
CCUACGGGAGGCUGCAGUAGGGAAUCUUCCACAAUGGGCGAAAGCCUGAUGGAGCAACGCCGCGUGGGUGAAGAAGGUCUUCGGAUCGUAAAACCCUGUUGUUAGAGAAGAAAGUGCGUGAGAGUAACUGUUCACGUUUCGACGGUAUCUAACCAGAAAGCCACGGCUCACUACGUGCCAGCAGGCGCGGGAAUACGUAGGUGGCAAGCGUUAUCCGGAUUUUUUGGGCGGAAAGGGAACGCAGGAGGUCUUUUAAGUCUGAGGGGAAAGCCCUCGGCUUAACCGGAGGAGUGCAUUGGAAACUGGGAGACUUGAGUGCAGAAGAGGAGGGUGGAACUCCAUGUGUAGCGGUGAAAUGCGUAGAUAUAUGGAAGAACACCAGUGGCGAAGGCGGCUCUCUGGUCUGUAACUGACGCUGAGGUUCGAAAGCGUGGGUAGCAAACAGGAUUAGAUACCCGAGUAGUC